UUUCCAUUCCUGAAUUACUUUGCUUAGAAUAAUCAUCUCCAAUCCCAUCCAGGUUGCUCCAAAUGCCACUAAUUAAUUCCUUUUCAUGGCAGAGUAGUAUUCCAUCAUAUAUAUAUAUAUAUAUACACACACAUAUAUAUAUAUAUAUAUAUAUAUAUGUAUAUCACAGUUUCUUUAUCCACCUGUUGAUUGAUGGGCAUGUGGGUUGGUUCCACAUUUUUGCAAUUAUGAAUUGUGCUGCUAUAAAUAUGCGCGUGCAAGUAUCUUUUUCGUACAAUGACUUCUUUUCCUCUGGGUAGAUACCCAGUAGUGGGAUUGCUGGAUCAAAUGGUAGUUGUACUUUUAGUUCUUUAAGGAAUCUCCCGGUUUUCCAUAGUGGUUGUACUAGUUUACAUUCCCAUCAGCAGUGUAGAAGUGUUCUCUUUUUACUGCAUCCACACUAACAUCUAUUAUUUUUCGGUUUUUUAAUUAUGACCAUUCUUGCAGGAGUGAGGUGGCAUCACAUUGUGGUUUUGAUUUGCAUUUCCUUGAUCAUUAGUGAUAUUGAGCAUUUUUUCAUGUUUGUUGGCCAUUUCUAUGUCUUCUUUUGAGAAUUGUCUAUUUAUGUCCUUAGUUUUUUUCUUUUUUCUUUUUUUUUUUUGAGACGGAGUCUCGUUCUUUUGCCCAGGCUAGGGUGCAAUGGUGCAAUCUCGGCUCACUGCGACCUCUGCCUCCCAGGUUCAAGUGAUUCUUGUGCCUCAGCUUCCUGAGUAGCUGAGAUUACAGGUGCCUGCCACCACGCCUGGCUAAUUUUUGUAUUUUUUCAUAGAGACAGGGUUUCACCAUGUUGGCCAGGCUGGUCUUGAACUACUGACCUCAUGAUCCACCUGCCUCAGCAUCCCAAAGUGCUGGGAUUAUAGGCGUGAGCCACCGUGACCGGCCAUCUCCUUCCUCCUUCACCACAAUCACCAAAUCAGCCCCUAGGUGUUUUUGGUAUUCAGAUUUCAUUUAAAGAAAAAGUUUUGAUGGCAACAAAUUGUGCAAACUUCUCUACACACUCCACACUCAACACACACACAUUGACUGAUGACAUUCAUUUUGUUGUGUGCUGUCUUUUAUUCUUCUCAUAUUCCAGAAGCUCUGUGUUAAGGUAGUUUACAGGCAUGUCACUAAGUCCCUAGCUCUGCUGCUCUGAGACCAUCUUAAUAGUCGGGAGUACUGUUUGAACAUUAUUAUAAAGUACCUACUAUAACCUUGAACUCCUGGUCUCAGGUGAUCCUCCCUUCUCAGCCUCCCAAGUAACUGGGAUGACAGGAAUGUGCCACUACACCUGGCUAAUUAAAAUUUUUUUUUUUUUUUGUAGAGACAGGGUUUUGGUAUGUUGCUCAGGCUGGUCUCGAACUCCUGGCAUCAAGUGAUCCUCCCACCUCAGCCUCCCAAAGUGUUGGGAUUACAGGCAUAAGCCACUAUGCCCAGCCUAGAAGUAUUUUAUAGGAUGAAGAAAAGAGUCGUAAGACAACUAUUCAUCUAAGACACAGAUGUUCUCAAUACAGGAUCUAGUAAAUCACUACUUCAUUUUUGCCAUUAGAAAGUAGAUGUAACUAUUGUGAUAUCAUGCCUGUUUGCUAGCACCUUUCUGAAAGUGCACUAAGCCACAGAGGAGGAAAGCAGGGGGCAUCUCAUUUACACGGAUACAAACAUUCCAUUGCCUUCUUUUAUUGCUCAAUACUUUAUUCCCACUGAUGAUAUCAAUCACGUUGUUGUGUUUAGUUGUGUAUACUUCUGUUAGAGUUCCUUGAGAGUCAGGCCUGUGCAUUAUUUAUCUUUGCAGCCCAAGUACCUGGCAUAUGCUUAGCACACAAUAAAAUAAUAAUUCAAUGGGAACUGAAUAUAUGAGGUUAGACUUCACAAGUCACUUGCCCUACCAGUUACUGUAUGUUUAAUUAUUCAGUCAACAAGUAUGUGAGAGCUUUCUAUGUGUGAGGUACUACACUAUGCACUGGUCAUAUAACUUCUGAAUGGGCUGUAAUUCAGCAAAGAGCCAAGCCUAGUAUGAUUCAGCAGGAACUACCAGCCUCUUAGUGGAAAGGGCUUCUUGGGGAAUAUGUACUUUUCUCUCUUCUAAAGAGUAACUUAUGGGGCCCAAAACUUUCUCUCCUUUCAUUCUAGGGCUAGGAAAGAAAGGGUAGAAGGCACAUGACAUACUUAGGUCCCACCCUCAUCACACUCAACAGAAUAUCAUACUAAGAAUCAAAUAAUAAACUUUAAUUUGAAUAUAAUACAGUAGAAUAUAAUAAUUAUUUUGAGGUACAAAAA
RNAcentral lists this long non-coding RNA (2295 nucleotides) under Homo sapiens (human). Its description in RNAcentral is "HSALNT0129728". The record is from RNAcentral. Lineage: Eukaryota; Metazoa; Chordata; Mammalia; Primates; Hominidae.